This 92-nucleotide transfer RNA is filed under the name Ruminococcus sp. Its description in RNAcentral is "tRNA-Ser". It matches the Rfam family "tRNA". From Rfam's summary of the family: Transfer RNA (tRNA) molecules are approximately 80 nucleotides in length. Their secondary structure includes four short double-helical elements and three loops (D, anti-codon, and T loops). Further hydrogen bonds mediate the characteristic L-shaped molecular structure. tRNAs have two regions of fundamental functional importance: the anti-codon, which is responsible for specific mRNA codon recognition, and the 3' end, to which the tRNAs corresponding amino acid is attached (by aminoacyl-tRNA synthetases). tRNAs cope with the degeneracy of the genetic code in two manners: having more than one tRNA (with a specific anti-codon) for a particular amino acid; and 'wobble' base-pairing, i.e. permitting non-standard base-pairing at the 3rd anti-codon position. RNAcentral also lists the same sequence under 10 other names. Lineage: Bacteria; Bacillati; Bacillota; Clostridia; Eubacteriales; Oscillospiraceae. The record is from RNAcentral.
GGAGAGUUGUCCGAGCUGGUCGAAGGAGCACGAUUGGAAAUCGUGUAACCGCCUAAAACGGUUCGAGGGUUCGAAUCCCUUGCUCUCCGCCA